CCUACGGGGGGCUGCAGUAGGGAAUAUUGCAUAAUGGGCGAAAGCCUGAUGCAGCAACGCCGCGUGUGCGAUGAAGGCCUUCGGGUCGUAAAGCACUUUUCGAUGGGAUGAGGAAGGACAGUACCAUCGGAAUAAGCCUCGGCUAACUACGUGCCAGCAGCCGCGGUAACACGUAGGAGGCGAGCGUUAUCCGGAUUUACUGGGCGUAAAGCGCGUGCAGGCGGCUGGGUAAGUUGGAUGUGAAAGCUCCUGGCUUAACUGGGAGAGGUCGUUCAAUACUACCCGGCUAGAGUGUGGUAGAGGAAGAUGGAAUUCCGGGUGUAGUGGUGAAAUGCGUAGAUAUCCGGAGGAACACCAGUGGCGAAAGCGAUCUUCUGGCCCAUAACUGACGCUCAGACGCGAAAGCUAGGGUAGCAAACGGGAUUAGAUACCCCAGUAGUC
Molecule: ribosomal RNA, 441 nt
Filed under: uncultured bacterium
Lineage: Bacteria
Description: partial 16S ribosomal RNA
Rfam family: Bacterial small subunit ribosomal RNA
Source: RNAcentral